GUAUAUGUAGCCUAUGUGUCACAUCUCGGAUUGCGGCCGGAUUGAACCACCACUAGAAGGUUGCUAAAUAUAGUAUAUUGGCUGAAGCUUACGUGUCACAUGUUGAGUUGCAACUUAGCUGAAACACCACUGAGUGAAGUUGUAUAUGAGAAACAAUAUCAUCAAUUCCAUAGAAUGUUUAAUUUUAAAUACAUGUAGGUUUUUGUUUGAUGUGGGAGGAAAAUCUAAAUAAUUUAACUUGUGCCUUAAUAGUUUGAUACAGGAUUAGGUAGAACUAUAAAUCUUGAGUGUGAGAUUCUUAAAUUGAAUGUCAACUUGAACUUAAUAUAUGAAUGGGAGCCUAAUUGUCUGGUGGUUGGGUUUAGAUGGAUAACCAAUAGUUGCGGCUAGUUUUUUUUGAACGGUAGGAUUUUAUGAUUAUAGAAUAGUUGUGGUUAGUGUAUGAGUAUAUCUUCAAUGAAAUAACCUAAUGUUUUUGAAAGCCAUAUAUUUUGAUUGUGAUUCCAUUGCAGCUUUUUCAGGGACGAAAAUCGUUGAAGUGUGGGGAGAUUUGAUGUGUUGCUAAAUACCGUCAUGUUAUUUAUCUAUAUCCAUGUGCAAAAUGGAGCAAAAACGAGCUAAAACGGUAACCAAACGAGCAACCGGGAGAAAGGAUAGAAGUGCAGCGCCCUAAACUAUAAUUUCUGAAGAAAUGUAGGGGUACCGCGUCAUGAGAAAGGAUCCUAGGGUGUGUUGCACAUCGCCUAGGGUUACAAGAACACGUGAAAUACCCUUAAUGAAAUAAGGGUAUUUAUCCUUGUGUCGUCGCUUCAGUUCUUUAUCUUUCUAUGCCAUAAGAAUAUCGCGAGGUCGGGUUCCAUUUGGAUCGCGAUACGCGAGACGUGUAUUAAACAAAAAAAAACGUAUUUGAGUUGGAUUUAUGUCACACCCCGAUAUUUCCACAUGUUACCGGUGGGCCCGGCUGGGAGUAUCGUGACGUAGUUGAUAUCAUCAUAGUCAAAUAUACAAAGUUUAUAGCACAGCGGAAGUCUUGAUAGAAAUUACUAUUAUAAACCGAAAGUGUAAAGUACGAAUAAA
RNAcentral lists this long non-coding RNA (1077 nucleotides) under Helianthus annuus (common sunflower). Its description in RNAcentral is "hypothetical non coding rna". The record is from RNAcentral. Lineage: Eukaryota; Viridiplantae; Streptophyta; Magnoliopsida; Asterales; Asteraceae.